Non-coding RNA from Camellia sinensis, 466 nucleotides. The record is from RefSeq and is a predicted model, not a curated record. NCBI's taxonomy places the organism in Eukaryota, Viridiplantae, Streptophyta, Magnoliopsida, Ericales, Theaceae.
AGAAAGUAGAAAAGUUUAUAGACCUUCCCUAUGUUGUCAAAGGAAUGGAUGUUUCGUUUAGUGGAAUACUGAGUUAUCUUGAAGCUACUGCUGAGGAAAAGAAAAAAAAAAAUAAUGAAUGCACCCCUGCAGAUUUGUGCUAUUCCCUUCAGGGGCCAAAGAUCAUGUUCUUGACAUGAAAUGUGCUGAUUUGGUGUGACCCGUUGGAUUGGCAUAUUUAUCUCAAGAUGACUCAGGGCAUGCAAAUAUGGGGUGGUUAUUGGAAGGCAACAAGGAGGGGGUAAUUUGCCAAGUAGCAAAGAUUGAUGAAGAUCUGUUGUGAGCUCUCACUACGAGACAAGUUUUGUGUUCAAUUGGUGAAAUAGUAAAUAUGUGUGCUUCCUAGGAGUUGAGUAGUUUUUCCUUUAUAGACAUUAGUGGAGAAAAUAAGAAAGUGUAACAUUGAAUGGAGAACAAUUUACUCCAU